CCUACCCUAUAAAUAAGUUGUCAAGUCUUCAUUGUAAACAUUCAGAAAUUACCUCAAUGAUAUUAAAAGUAUUUUUUUUCAAGAGAGGUUCUUCUGCAUCUCAUUGAGUAAGGAGUGGAUCUACUUAUUAAGGUACGACCUUGUGGCAUUUUUCUAUUUUAUUUCUUUCAUUUAUAAUGACCUUAGUUUCUAUCAUUCUUGAUAGCAAGUUAAGUAGAAAGAGUUUCUCUAGGAUCAAUUCAUUUGAUACCUUUAAAUAAACUUAUGUUUGUUCCUAAUCACGACGGUUGAU
This 292-nucleotide long non-coding RNA is filed under the name Carica papaya (papaya). Its description in RNAcentral is "long non-coding RNA (CPAP_LNC006462)". The record is from RNAcentral. Lineage: Eukaryota; Viridiplantae; Streptophyta; Magnoliopsida; Brassicales; Caricaceae.